GAAAGGCCCUGCUUGCAGGGUACUCGAGUGGCGAACGGGUGAGUAACACGUGGGUGAUCUGCCCUGCACUUCGGGAUAAGCCUGGGAAACUGGGUCUAAUACCGGAUAGGAGCCAUUUUUAGUGUGAUGGUUGGAAAGUUUUUUCGGUGUAGGAUGUGCUCGCGGCCUAUCAGCUUGUUGGUGGGGUAAUGGCCUACCAAGGCGGCGACGGGUAGCCGGCCUGAGAGGGUGGACGGCCACAUUGGGACUGAGAUACGGCCCAGACUCCUACGGGAGGCAGCAGUGGGGAAUAUUGCACAAUGGGCGCAAGCCUGAUGCAGCGACGCCGCGUGGGGGAUGACGGCCUUCGGGUUGUAAACUCCUUUCGCUAGGGACGAAGCUUUUUGUGACGGUACCUAGAUAAGAAGCACCGGCUAACUACGUGCCAGCAGCCGCGGUAAUACGUAGGGUGCGAGCGUUGUCCGGAAUUACUGGGCGUAAAGGGCUCGUAGGUGGUUUGUCGCGUCGUCUGUGAAAUUCCGGGGCUUAACUCCGGGCGUGCAGGCGAUACGGGCAUAACUUGAGUACUGUAGGGGUAACUGGAAUUCCUGGUGUAGCGGUGAAAUGCGCAGAUAUCAGGAGGAACACCGAUGGCGAAGGCAGGUUACUGGGCAGUUACUGACGCUGAGGAGCGAAAG
This 677-nucleotide ribosomal RNA is filed under the name uncultured Actinomycetales bacterium. RNAcentral's name for it is "bacterial SSU rRNA". It matches the Rfam family "Bacterial small subunit ribosomal RNA", at positions 68 to 759 of the family's 1533-position model. Lineage: Bacteria; Bacillati; Actinomycetota; Actinomycetes; Actinomycetales. The record is from RNAcentral.